CCUCUCCUACGGGGACGCAGCAGUGGGGAAUAUUGGGCAAUGGGCGCAAGCCUGACCCAGCACCACCGCGUGAAGGAAGAAGGCUUUCGGGUUGUAAACUUCUUUUCUGAGGGACGAAGAAAGUGACGGUACCUCAGGAAUAAGCCACGGCUAACUACGUGCCAGCAGCCGCGGUAAUACGUAGGUGGCAAGCGUUAUCCGGAUUUAUUGGGUGUAAAGGGCGUGUAGGCGGGAAUGCAAGUCAGAUGUGAAAA
RNAcentral lists this ribosomal RNA (254 nucleotides) under uncultured bacterium. RNAcentral's name for it is "partial 16S ribosomal RNA". It matches the Rfam family "Bacterial small subunit ribosomal RNA", at positions 333 to 600 of the family's 1533-position model. The record is from RNAcentral.